Molecule: unclassified non-coding RNA, 211 nt
Filed under: Hevea brasiliensis (rubber tree)
Lineage: Eukaryota; Viridiplantae; Streptophyta; Magnoliopsida; Malpighiales; Euphorbiaceae
Source: RNAcentral
GAGUUUCAAAAAUACCAUUAGAUGUUGAUCUUCAUUUCUUGAAGUACCACUAGAAAUCUAGAAUGUGGAAGAAAUUGUUGGUGUAAUUGUGAAAUUAUUUCUCUUCUUGGAUUUAUUUUUCAUUGUGCAUUAAAGAUAUGGCAUCCACUGCUGAUAGAUGCAAAUCAAGCUUUGUGAUGAUCAAGGCUUGAGACUCCCAAUACAAAUUGAA